RNAcentral lists this ribosomal RNA (225 nucleotides) under Triticum aestivum (bread wheat). RNAcentral describes it as "partial small subunit ribosomal RNA". Lineage: Eukaryota; Viridiplantae; Streptophyta; Magnoliopsida; Poales; Poaceae. The record is from RNAcentral.
AUGAAUAUCCUGGCCUGGAACUGUCGGGGACUGGGGUUGGACUCGACAGUGGGCGAACUACGAGACCUGAUUAGGUCCCACAACCCAGCGGUGGUGUUCUUAUGCGAAACAAAAAAGAAGGCGAGAGCAAUGGAGAGGCUGAAAUGGAGCUUGGGGUUCACGUCAGGAGUAGCGGUGGACUGCGAGGGCCGUAGUGGCGGUCUGGCUUUAUGGUGGAGAGACCAU